This 1061-nucleotide ribosomal RNA is filed under the name Acinetobacter sp. AOLR42. RNAcentral's name for it is "bacterial SSU rRNA". It matches the Rfam family "Bacterial small subunit ribosomal RNA", at positions 413 to 1467 of the family's 1533-position model. The record is from RNAcentral. Lineage: Bacteria; Pseudomonadati; Pseudomonadota; Gammaproteobacteria; Moraxellales; Moraxellaceae.
GGCCUUUUGGUUGUAAAGCACUUUAAGCGAGGAGGAGGCUACUGGUAUUAAUACUACUGGAUAGUGGACGUUACUCGCAGAAUAAGCACGGCUAACUCUGUGCCAGCAGCCGCUGUAAUACAGAGGGUGCGAGCGUUUAUCGGAUUUACUGGGCGUAAAGCGUGCGUAGGCGGCUUUUUAAGUCGGAUGUGAAAUCCGUGAGCUUAACUUAGGAAUUGCAUUCGAUACUGGGAGGCUAGAGUAUGGGAGAGGAUGGUAGAAUUCCAGGUGUAGCGGUGAAAUGCGUAGAGAUCUGGAGGAAUACCGAUGGCGAAGGCAGCCAUCUGGCCUAAUACUGACGCUGAGGUACGAAAGCAUGGGGAGCAAACAGGAUUAGAUACCCUGGUAGUCCAUGCCGUAAACGAUGUAUACUAGCCGUUGGGGCCUUUGAGGCUUUAGUGGCGCAGCUAACGCGAUAAGUAGACCGCCUGGGGAGUACGGUCGCAAGACUAAAACUCAAAUGAAUUGACGGGGGCCCGCACAAGCGGUGGAGCAUGUGGUUUAAUUCGAUGCAACGCGAAGAACCUUACCUGGUCUUGACAUACAGAGAACUUUCCAGAGAUGGAUUGGUGCCUUCGGGAACUUUGAUACAGGUGCUGCAUGGCUGUCGUCAGCUCGUGUCGUGAGAUGUUGGGUUAAGUCCCGCAACGAGCGCAACCCUUUUCCUUACUUGCCAUCGGGUCAUGCCGGGAACUUUAAGGAUACUGCCAGUGACAAACUGGAGGAAGGCGGGGACGACGUCAAGUCAUCAUGGCCCUUACGACCAGGGCUACACACGUGUUACAAUGGUCGGUACAAAGGGUUGAUACCUAGCGAUAGGAUGCUAAUCUCAAAAAGCCGAUUGUAGUCCGGAUUGGAGUCUGCAACUCGACUCCAUGAAGUCGGAAUCGCUAGUAAUCGCGGAUCAGAAUGCCGCGGUGAAUACGUUCCCGGGCCUUGUACACACCGCCCGUCACACCAUGGGAGUUUGUUGCACCAGAAGUAGGUAGUCUAACCGCAAGGAGGACGCUACCACGGGGCUG